UUUAAUUUAGUUUAAAUUUAAAACACUUUUUUUUCAAGAAAGAGAUCUAAACAAUUAGAAUUAAAA
This 66-nucleotide transfer RNA is filed under the name Heterodoxus spiniger. RNAcentral's name for it is "tRNA-Glu". Lineage: Eukaryota; Metazoa; Arthropoda; Insecta; Psocodea; Boopidae. The record is from RNAcentral.